CCUGCUGCUGCUUCUGAUCUUUGCUUCUAGAGAUCGUAGUGGUUUUGGUCUUCUGAGCUGAAUCGGAUGGCCGUGGACACUGUCGAGACUGCCGUCGCUUUGGUUCCGCCGCAGCCGCCGCCGAGAUCGGAGAUGAGCGAGGACGAGCUCCCGCCCGUCGAGGGGUGGGCGAAGCGGAAGCGCUCGAAGCGCCACCACCGUUUCUUCGACCACCCGCCGACUGAGGAGGAGUACCUGGCCCUCUGCCUCAUGAUGCUCGCCCGCGGCGGCUCCGGCCACCACCUCCCGUCCGUCUCCACCGCCUCUGCCGCGGCGACUCCUACGCCCACCGCGAAGGUCGGGUUCAAGUGCUCCGUCUGCGGCAAGGCCUUCGGUUCCUACCAAGCGCUAGGAGGGCACAAGGCCAGCCACCGCAAGCUCAACGCCAGCAGCGGCGGGGAGGAGCCCUCCGCCGCCGCGUCCCCGGCCGCUUCCGCUUCCGGCUCCUCCACCGCCGCAGCAGGCGCCACCACCACCGGCGGCAAAGUGCACCAGUGCUCCGUGUGCUUCAAGACGUUCCCGACGGGGCAGGCGCUGGGCGGGCACAAGAGGAGACACUACGAUGGGAGC
RNAcentral lists this long non-coding RNA (609 nucleotides) under Musa acuminata (dwarf banana). RNAcentral describes it as "long non-coding RNA (MACU_LNC005502)". The record is from RNAcentral. Lineage: Eukaryota; Viridiplantae; Streptophyta; Magnoliopsida; Zingiberales; Musaceae.